CCUACGGGAGGCAGCAGUGGGGAAUUUUGGACAAUGGGCGCAAGCCUGAUCCAGCCAUGCCGCGUGCAGGAUGAAGGCCUUCGGGUUGUAAACUGCUUUUGUACGGAACGAAAAGACUCUGGUUAAUACCUGGGGUCCAUGACGGUACCGUAAGAAUAAGCACCGGCUAACUACGUGCCAGCAGCCGCGGUAAUACGUAGGGUGCGAGCGUUAAUCGGAAUUACUGGGCGUAAAGCGUGCGCAGGCGGUUAUAUAAGACAGAUGUGAAAUCCCCGGGCUCAACCUGGGAACUGCAUUUGUGACUGUAUAGCUAGAGUACGGCAGAGGGGGAUGGAAUUCCGCGUGUAGCAGUGAAAUGCGUAGAUAUGCGGAGGAACACCGAUGGCGAAGGCAAUCCCCUGGGCCUGUACUGACGCUCAUGCACGAAAGCGUGGGGAGCAAACAGGAUUAGAUACCCUGGUAGUCCACGCCCUAAACGAUGUCAACUGGUUGUUGGGUCUUCACUGACUCAGUAACGAAGCAACGCGUGAAGUUGACCGCCUGGGGAGUACGGCCGCAAGGUUGAAACGUCGAAAGGAAUUGACGG
This 586-nucleotide ribosomal RNA is filed under the name uncultured bacterium. RNAcentral describes it as "bacterial SSU rRNA". It matches the Rfam family "Bacterial small subunit ribosomal RNA", at positions 338 to 916 of the family's 1533-position model. The record is from RNAcentral.